RNAcentral lists this ribosomal RNA (451 nucleotides) under uncultured bacterium. RNAcentral's name for it is "partial 16S ribosomal RNA". It matches the Rfam family "Bacterial small subunit ribosomal RNA", at positions 354 to 796 of the family's 1533-position model. The record is from RNAcentral.
GUGGGGAAUAUUGGACAAUGGGGGGAACCCUGAUCCAGCCAUGCCGCGUGUGUGAAGAAGGCCUUUUGGUUGUAAAGCACUUUAAGUGGGGAGGAGGCUUACCUAGUUAAUACCUGGGCUAAGUGGACGUUACCCACAGAAUAAGCACCGGCUAACUCUGUGCCAGCAGCCGCGGUAAUACAGAGGGUGCGAGCGUUAAUCGGAUUUACUGGGCGUAAAGCGCGCGUAGGUGGUUAAUUAAGUCAAAUGUGAAAUCCCCGAGCUUAACUUGGGAAUUGCAUUCGAUACUGGUUGGCUAGAGUAUGGGAGAGGAUGGUAGAAUUCCAGGGGUAGCGGUGAAAUGCGUAGAGAUCUGGAGGAAUACCGAUGGCGAAGGCAGCCAUCUGGCCUAAUACUGACACUGAGGUGCGAAAGCAUGGGGAGCAAACAGGAUUAGAAACCCGUGUAGUCC